AUAUAAUUUAAGGUUUCAGGUGUCGAUCGAUUGGCGACGACCGCACCUCUAAGGAAAGAAGCUAAGCUCCCAUAGCAACAGUGUCAAACGGGAUUCAUCACCACGCGCCGAAUCUGGUUUGAAAAUGAAUCUUAUUUUGCGGAACUGCUUAUGCGGUAAAAAUUGAACCUGCUGUGAAGGAAAAUCAUGCACUAAAAUCGAAGGCUGAAAUACCGGUGUUACUUCAAGAUAAUGUCAUUGCUACUUUGGUAAACGAAAAUUUUUCCUUAAAAAAUGCUCCAGUCAAACAGAAACGGAAGUUUUCCGAAAGCUAUGCUCCACCCAAAAAGAGAGGAAAGUUUCCCGAGAGCGAUACUUCAACCAGAAAGAAAGGAAAUCCUUCUGAAAAUGAUACUUCAGAGGAGAAUAAACUCACACGCGCCAAAAGCAAGUGUCAAGAACUACGAGAAAAUAGUGAAGAAAACCUUCGGACCGAAGGAAGUUUUCAUUAUGACUAUAGAGAAGAGUUUCCAAGGAAAACCAAACGAAUGAAACUUACUGAAGUAUGUGUGGCUACAUUUCUUCGAAUUUUACUUUUAUGCAUUUUUAUCGGCUACUUUUGUGCCUUCUACUUCAUUUACAUUGAAGAUAUUAGAGAUGUCAGUAUACACGAAAGAAGUAUGGUCAUAAUUUGUAUAAUAAUAUCCUUAAUUUUUGUGAUUAUUUCGAUAUGGAAGUCUUACCGUGAAGUGAUGAUGGAGUUUCCGAAUGAUCGAACUGUAAAGAGAUAUAAAAAUAUUAUAAUAGUGUAGUUAAAAUGGCAUCCAAAUCUAUUAUUUUAACAUUUUUUUAAUAAAAUUUCCCAUUCUGUGUUUC
RNAcentral lists this unclassified non-coding RNA (855 nucleotides) under Stegodyphus dumicola. Its description in RNAcentral is "uncharacterized LOC118179753, transcript variant X3". Lineage: Eukaryota; Metazoa; Arthropoda; Arachnida; Araneae; Eresidae. The record is from RNAcentral.